RNAcentral lists this ribosomal RNA (468 nucleotides) under uncultured bacterium. Its description in RNAcentral is "partial 16S ribosomal RNA". It matches the Rfam family "Bacterial small subunit ribosomal RNA", at positions 28 to 507 of the family's 1533-position model. The record is from RNAcentral.
GAUGAACGCUGGCGGCGUGCUUAACACAUGCAAGUCGAACGGAAAGGCCCAAGCUUGCUUGGGUACUCGAGUGGCGAACGGGUGAGUAACACGUGGGUGAUCUGCCCUGCACUUCGGGAUAAGCCUGGGAAACUGGGUCUAAUACCGGAUAGGACGAUGGUUUGGAUGCCAUUGUGGAAAGUUUUUUCGGUGUGGGAUGAGCUCGCGGCCUAUCAGCUUGUUGGUGGGGUAAUGGCCUACCAAGGCGUCGACGGGUAGCCGGCCUGAGAGGGUGUACGGCCACAUUGGGACUGAGAUACGGCCCAGACUCCUACGGGAGGCAGCAGUGGGGAAUAUUGCACAAUGGGCACAAGCCUGAUGCAGCGACGCCGCGUGGGGGAUGACGGCCUUCGGGUUGUAAACUCCUUUCGCUAGGGACGAAGCGUUUUUGUGACGGUACCUGGAGAAGAAGCACCGGCUAACUACGUG